Molecule: non-coding RNA, 100 nt
Filed under: Spiroplasma eriocheiris
Lineage: Bacteria; Bacillati; Mycoplasmatota; Mollicutes; Entomoplasmatales; Spiroplasmataceae
Description: Guanine sequence
Rfam family: Purine riboswitch aptamer
About the family: Riboswitches are metabolite binding domains within certain messenger RNAs that serve as precision sensors for their corresponding targets.
Source: Rfam by way of RNAcentral
CAUAAAAAUAAAUUAGCAACCUGUAUAUGUUAGUAAUAUGGUCUAACGUCUCUACACCUACCCAUUGUAAUUAGGUACUAUAGGUUAAUGUUUUUCCUUU